Mandrillus leucophaeus (drill) is the source of this 1477-nucleotide RNA transcript. It is a transcript of the gene named phosphoglycerate kinase 1 pseudogene, with no coding region annotated. The record is from RefSeq and is a predicted model, not a curated record. The transcript is spliced from 2 exons. NCBI's taxonomy places the organism in Eukaryota, Metazoa, Chordata, Mammalia, Primates, Cercopithecidae.
UGCAAGCCUCCCGAGCACGUCGGUACCCGGCUCCCCUCACUGAAUCACCGAGUUCUCUCCCCAGCUGUAUUUCCAAAAUGUCACUUUCUAACAAGCUGACCCUGGACAAGCUGGACGUGAAAGGGAAGCCAGUCAUUGUAAGAGUCGACUUCAAUGUUCCUAUGAAGAACAACCAGAUAACAAACAACCAGAGGAUUAAGGCUGCUGCCCCAAGCAUCAAAUUCUGCUUGGACAAUGGAUCCAAGUCAGUAGUUCUUAUGAGACACCUAGGCCGGCCUGAUGGUGUCCCUAUGCCUGACAAGUACUCCUUAGAGCCAGUUGCUGUAGAACUCAAAUCUCUGCUGGGCAAAGAUGUUCUGUUCUUGAAGGACUGUGUAGGCCCAGAAGUGGAGAAAACCUGUACCAACCCAGCUGCUGGGUCUGUCAUCCUGCAGGAGAACCUCCGCUUUCAGGUGGAGGAAGAGGGAAAGGAAAAGAUGCUUCUGGAAACAAGGCUAAAGCCGAGCCAGCCAAAUUAGCAGCUUUCCAAGCUUCACUUCCCAAGUUAGGGGAUGUCUAUGUCAGUGAUGCUUUUGGCACUGCUCACAGAGCCCACAGCUCCAUGGCAGAAGUCAAUCUGCCACAGAAGGCUGGUGGUAUUUUUGUUUUUUUGUUUUUGUUUUGUUUUUUUUGAUGAAGAAGGACCUGAACUACUUUGCCAAGGACUUGGAGAGCCCAGAGCGACACUUCCUGGCCAUCCUGGGCAGAGCUAAAGUUGCAGACAAGAUCCAGCUGAUCAAGAAUAUGCUGGACAAAGUCAGUGAGAUGAUUAUUGGUGGUGGAAUGGCAUUUACCUUCCUUAAGGUGGUCAACAACAUGGAGAUUGGCACUUCUCUGUUUGAUGAAGAGGGAGCCAAGAUUGUCAAAGACCUAAUGUCUAAAGCUGAGAAGAAUGGUGUGAAGAUUAUCUUGCCUGUUGACUUUGUCGCUGCUGGCAAGUUUGAUGAGAAUGCCAAGACUGGCCAAGCCACUGUGGCUUCUGGCAUAUCUGCUGGCAGGAUGGGCUUUGGACUGUGGUCCUGAAAGCAGCAAGAAGUAUGCUGAGGCUGUCACUCGGGCUAAGCAGAUUGUGUGGAAUGGUCCUGUGGGGGUUUUUGGGAUCCCUCCUCUGAAAAUCGCCCUGGAACACGUGUGGUUUGCAAUUUCCUGCAAAGCUGCUGCUCAUGAUGUUAUCCUACAAACAUCCAAAUCCCGGCAUAUGAGUUUCUCCAGGGCAGUCUCUGACUGGUUCCAUUGUAGGAUCUGUCCACGCCCUGCAUAUGCCUGGUACCAAAAAGGGAAACUGGGUCUGCAGGACGUUGCUGCAGUUCAGGCGUUGGCCGCGUGGGAGCAGAAGUGCAAAGUCAAAGCGUCUGGAAAAAGCGCUCAGGUUGUGGGACCAGCAGAGCAUCACCGAGGACGUCCCUGGUCGAGAACUACGUCUUUUUAUCCAUUUUAA